AGGGAUGUAGCUCAUUGGUAGAGCACCUGCCUAGCAUGCAUGAGACUCUGGACUCAGUCCCCAGCACCACUC
This 72-nucleotide transfer RNA is filed under the name Heterocephalus glaber (naked mole-rat). It matches the Rfam family "tRNA". From Rfam's summary of the family: Transfer RNA (tRNA) molecules are approximately 80 nucleotides in length. Their secondary structure includes four short double-helical elements and three loops (D, anti-codon, and T loops). The record is from Rfam by way of RNAcentral. Lineage: Eukaryota; Metazoa; Chordata; Mammalia; Rodentia; Bathyergidae.